AGAUCUUUUAGGUGUUUGUCUCUGUCUGCGGGGUUGGAGCAAAUGUGGUUGUAUCGUAGAGCUUGGCUGUAGACAAUGGAUCAUGUGGUGUGGUCUGGAUGAAAGCAUGUAGAUAGGCAUAGUGGUCAAUAGGUUUCCUGUAUAGGGUGAUGUUUAUGUGACCAUCGCUUACUAGCACCAUAGUGUCCAGGAAGUGGAUCUAUUGUUGGACUGUUCCAGCUGAGGUUG
This is a long non-coding RNA of Dermochelys coriacea (leatherback sea turtle), 228 nucleotides long. RefSeq lists it as uncharacterized. NCBI's taxonomy places the organism in Eukaryota, Metazoa, Chordata, Testudines, Dermochelyidae. The record is from RefSeq and is a predicted model, not a curated record. The transcript has 3 exons.